Molecule: RNA transcript, 1785 nt
Organism: Cryptomeria japonica (Japanese cedar)
Lineage: Eukaryota; Viridiplantae; Streptophyta; Pinopsida; Cupressales; Cupressaceae
Gene name: cytochrome P450 CYP72A616-like
Exons: 5
Source: RefSeq, a predicted model, not a curated record
UCUAAAACCGAUCCUAAUAAAGAGGUCAUUUUAUUUCUGCCAAUGGAGAUAUAACAAGAACAGAAAGAGCCUACACAUAGUCACAGCAAAUCUGAAGCUUUCAGAACCAAAUAAUUAGUGUGUUUUGGCCACGUCUGGAAUAUGGAGUGGGUAUUUUGGGGUUUGGCGGCCAUUUGUGCAGGUUUAGUUUGGUUUCUGCUCAAGAUUGCAACAACGAUAUGGUGGAAGCCUCUGCAAGUGAAAAAGUCCUUUGAAGCUCAAGGAAUCAGUGGCCCUCCAUACAGGUUAUUCUAUGGGAAUUUACCAGAUAUAUCCAGAAUGACCGAUGAGCAGAAGUCCAAACCCAUGGCACUCUCACAUGACAUAUUCCCUCGAGUUUUCCCCCAUUUACAUCAGUGGAGCAGAAAAUAUGGUCAGGAUUUUAUUUUCUGGUUUGGGCCGAAUGCCAUGUUGGUUGUUCCCCACCCCGAGCUUAUUAAGGAGAUAUUGUCCACUAAAUUUGGCAACUAUCCAAAGCCUCCGAGUAAUCCCCUUUCAAGACAACAGUUGGGAAAGGGACUUGCGGGGUUGAAAGGUGAGAAAUGGGCUCAGCACAGGAAAAUCAUCAAUCCUGCUUUCCAUAUGGAUCUAUUGAACGGGAUGAUUCCAACAAUUGUGAAAAGCGUUGCCAAUAUAUUGGAUGGAUGGAGUAAAUUGAUAUUGUCAGGUGCAUCGGAAAUUGAUGUGCAAAAGGAGUUCCACGAUCUAACAGCAGAUGUUAUUUCCCGCACAGCAUUUGGAAGCAGUUAUACAGAAGGAAAACAUAUCUUUGAAAUGCAGAUCAAACAGACGAUCCUUGCAGUUGACUCACGUCGUAGUGUUUAUAUUCCAGGUUUCAGGUUUCUUCCUACUGCAAAGAAUAGGCAACGUUGGAAUGUGGAGAAAGAAAUAAGAAGAUCCUUAAGAAAAAUUAUAGAUGGCAGGGAAAGGACUGCUAUAACAGAAAAAUCAGGUCGAUAUGGUGCCGAUCUGCUUGGGUUAAUGAUGUCUGAGAGCAAGGAGCAGGGUAGAGUCAAUGUAACAAGUAAUGGAAGCCUGAGUACAGAGGAAAUCAUUGAUGAAUGCAAGACUUUCUACUUUGCUGGUCAUGAAACCACAUCAUUACUGUUGACAUGGAGUAUAAUAUUGUUGGGCAUACAUCAAGAUUGACAAGAGCGAGGUCGCAGAGAAGUGAUGGAAGUAUGUGGAAAAAACAAUUAUCCAGAUGCAGACAGCUUAAGUCGCCUCAAAACUGUGGGAAUGAUCAUAAAUGAGGUCUUAAGACUUUAUCCACCUGCACCGCGUAUGUUGAGAAUGGCACGUGAGCCAAUGAAACUUGGGAGGCUCUCAAUUCCUGCAGCCACUCAACUUAUGAUUCCGAUCCUUGCAAUUCACCAUGAUCCUGCUUUGUGGGGAGACGAUGCCAAAGAUUUCAACCCAGGGCGAUUUAGUGAAGGAAUUGCAAAGGCUGCAAAGCAUCCAAUGGCAUUCAUGCCCUUUGGUGGAGGUCCAACUAUAUGUGUGGUCCAAACUUUUGCCUUGUUGGAAGCAAAAAUAGUUUUGGCAAUGAUUCUGCAAAAAUUUUCUUUUGUGACUUCACCAUCUUAUACUCAUGCUCCUAUGCUUUUACCUACUCUGAAACCUCAAUAUGGAGCUCAGCUUAUCUUCCGCAUGGACUGUGAAUAGUACUACCUAGAAUUUCCUCAAGUGUAUCGAAAUUUUUACUAGCAUUAUAUAUUUACUGUAGUAUAAAUUCACCAUCAAAUA